Long non-coding RNA from Myodes glareolus (Bank vole), 1880 nucleotides. RefSeq lists it as uncharacterized. Lineage: Eukaryota; Metazoa; Chordata; Mammalia; Rodentia; Cricetidae. The record is from RefSeq and is a predicted model, not a curated record.
AAGAGACUCAGGCUGCAAGCAGGAAAGAAGAGGUGCCUGCUUCAGCAGACAGGGGAGGGAGUGGGCUGGGCUUGUCUUUUAAAGAGACAAAACAGAUCAUUAGGAGGUUAGGCACCAUAGGUUAAGGGAAUUGGGGCAGUGGAUUCUCAAGAUUGCUUCCUGCUUUUUUUGUGGGCCUUGAAUUUUCGGGGGAGACCCUGUCCCGCCCAAUCUGCAAAACCCACUCUCUGAUAAGGGUGCGCGCUUCCCGAACCGAAUCACGAGACUGGAUCAAUAUCCUAGGAGUUGAACAGACACACACAGAGAGACCAGACUCAUUCAUCCAAAGGGCAUAUGGGAAUCCUGGACUAGGACCACUUUCCAACUUCCUGUGCCCGGUUCAUCGCUGCAUACUACCACAACUAAAUAUAAGCAGAGAAAAAGGUUGGCUCCUAACAGCAGCACCCCAUUUCCUCCAAAGAAGACAGAUGAGCACAGAACAGCAUCCAUCCACAGUUCUCUUUGUCUUGUCAAAUGAAAGCACAAAACACAAGAUCUCCCGAAACCUGGUGAGCCCUGCACUAACAACAGAAAACAAAUACAUCCUGAAAGCCCCUGUUCUCAACAACCAUGGAGCACCAUGAAGGGUGGCUCUAGGCAGCCAAUUGAGUCCAAGAGACACUGGAGUGUUCCACACUACAAAUCCUGGACAGGAGUGAAGCAACCAGCUCCCCUUUGACUGGCAUCUCAGUUUUCUCGGGUCCCCUAAGACUCCGUUGACCAGAAAUAAGCAGGAAGUAGUUUUGAGAACUCAACACCCUCAUCCCCUUAACCUGCCAUGCCUAACUCCUCACCUUUUUAUUAUAAGAGAAAGGCGAGGGUGUUGUAAUUAUAGCUCUACUGGCCUGCCCUGUCACCUGGGCACCCUGUCCUUUAAGAGACAAUCUCCCCCUUCUCUGCUGAGGCAAGGAGAUCUUCUGCCUCCUCUCCACCUCUUUCUCUCUCUGACUGUCCUCCUGAAGUAGCUACCUCCCCUGCUUUCUCUCUUUCUUCUAUAGCCCUCUUACCCUUAUACCCUUCCCAAUACCCACUAAAUAAACACUAUACCCAAGUUCUCUCUCCGCAUGGCAUAUCUAUCUGUCUCCCACCCACCACAGUCUCACACAGCUUCCUUUUAAUAGCAAUAUUUUAAUCCUAGUGAUACUGUGAAAGUUACAUUUUAAGUUUUAAUUACUACAUCUAAAAGAUCCAUGAAACAAAAAAUGCCUCUAAUCUACAAGCCCCUUACCAAAGGGCAGACAGUUCCUGAAAUGCUGGAGGUCCUUGUUUAUGGGAGAUAACAAGCCACUUGCUCCCACUCCCCUAAACAAGUUUGUUUUACCCAUCUGCACUGUAUGUGUUCAAUCACAUGUGAGUGGGUGGUUCAUGAUAUAUUUGCCCCUGAUUGGAUGUAGACUGGAGGUACAUCAGGAUGUAUGCUUGCCUCUGAUUGGAUGUAGACUGGAGGUACAUCAGGAUGUAUGCUUGCCCCUGAUUGGAUGUAGACUAGAGGUACAUCAGGAUGUAUGCUUGCCCCUGAUUGGAUGUAGACUGGAGGUACAUCAGGGUGUAUGCUUGCCCCUGAUUGGACUUUAUGGGAAGUACUUAAGCCACUGCAAACCGUGACUUGGGGCCACUUUUUCUGGGAGAUCAGAGAUGGAUCUGGCCAGUAUUUAAUUAAAGCUUGCUUCAAAUUUGUCUUUAAAUUAACAAUAAAUACAUCUACCUUUCAGCUCUGAUACUGAUGAAAGUCAGUGCUAGGAGUCCUAGGUUUCUAUGUGAGGCCCAAGGCAACUGAGAAAGAAUGCCUAUUUCUUUUUAUUUUACUGACAUAACUUUGCUUUUUAAAAUCCCAAAAAGGA